GGAAGCACCCGGCAAUCAGCAAAGUCUUGUCAUGCAGGCAAAUGGGAUGAGAUGAGCUGGAAGAUCCUCCCAGUUCACAUCAUUACCGAAGUAAUUCUACCACUUGGGGAAAGUCAUUCAAAUUCUCUAGCCCUUAAUCUGAUUGUUAGUUAAGAACAGAGACUGACCUUGCUCCAGAAUCCAGGCUGAAGCCCAAGAGAUGAAUUUGAGGAAGAACCAAAGCAGACAUUCAGAUGGCCAAGAGGGACCUGGAAAAAAUGCUCCUCAUCACGUAUCCUCAGGGAAAUGCAGAUCAAAACCACAGUGAGAUACUAUCUCACACCUGUGAGAAUGGCCUACAUCAAUUCAGCAAGUGUUGGAUGAACAUUGAUUUCAGAGCUUCUGAAAAGCACUUCUGAGCAGAAGAACACUCCUGGCAUUGCUGUGCUCACGGUGAAAGGAUCUGCCGAUUUUUGUCUUGUAACAAACGUGAAAUGUGUUACUUUGCCCUGUUUUUCAUACCGAUGUCUACUCUCUUCUUUCCUUUGUUCAAACAUUCUUCUUAAUUGUUUCCCUUCCCUGUGUCUCUGUGUCCCCGCCUUUGACUUAGGGCAGGAGAAAAAGAGAUGGAUAGAAAAACUGAGUGACAGAGAAGGGCUGAUUCAGAAAUCAAGUAAAAGUUGAA
Molecule: long non-coding RNA, 664 nt
Organism: Talpa occidentalis (Iberian mole)
Lineage: Eukaryota; Metazoa; Chordata; Mammalia; Eulipotyphla; Talpidae
Exons: 3
Source: RefSeq, a predicted model, not a curated record